GACGAACGCUGGCGGCGUGCUUAACACAUGCAAGUCGAACGGAAAGGCCCUGCUUUUGUGGGGUUCUCGAGUGGCGAACGGGUGAGUAACACGUGAGUAACCUGCCCUUGACUUUGGGAUAACUUCAGGAAACUGGGGCUAAUACCGGAUAGGAGCUCCUGCUGCAUGGUGGGGGUUGGAAAUUUUCGGCGGUUGGGGAUGGACUCGCGGCUUAUCAGCUUGUUGGUGGGGUAGUGGCUUACCAAGGCUUUGACGGGUAGCCGGCCUGAGAGGGUGACCGGCCACAUUGGGACUGAGAUACGGCCCAGACUCCUACGGGAGGCAGCAGUGGGGAAUAUUGCACAAUGGGCGGCAGCCUGAUGCAGCAACGCCGCGUGCGGGAUGACGGCCUUCGGGUUGUAAACCGCUUUCGCCUGUGACGCAGCGUGAGUGACGGUAAUGGGUAAAGAAGCACCGGCUAACUACGUG
This 468-nucleotide ribosomal RNA is filed under the name uncultured bacterium. RNAcentral describes it as "partial 16S ribosomal RNA". It matches the Rfam family "Bacterial small subunit ribosomal RNA", at positions 28 to 507 of the family's 1533-position model. The record is from RNAcentral.